GAAACCGGGUGAUCUAGCCAUGGGCAGGUUGAAGGUUGAGUAACAUCAACUGGAGGACCGAACCGACUAAUGUUGAAAAAUUAGCGGAUGACUUGUGGCUAGGGGUGAAAGGCCAAUCAAACUCGGAGAUAGCUGGUUCUCCCCGAAAGCUAUUUAGGUAGCGCCUCGGACGAAUACUACUGGGGGUAGAGCACUGUUAAGGCUAGGGGGUCAUCCCGACUUACCAACCCUUUGCAAACUCCGAAUACCAGUAAGUACUAUCCGGGAGACACACGGCGGGUGCUAACGUCCGUCGUGGAGAGGGAAACAACCCAGACCGCCAGCUAAGGUCCCAAAGUAUUGCUAAGUGGGAAACGAUGUGGGAAGGCUCAGACAGCUAGGAUGUUGGCUUAGAAGCAGCCAUCAUUUAAAGAAAGCGUAAUAGCUCACUAGUCGAGUCGGCCUGCGCGGAAGAUGUAACGGGGCUAAGCAAUACACCGAAGCUGCGGCAAUAUCUUUUAGAUAUUGGGUAGGGGAGCGUUCUGUAAGCCGUUGAAGGUGAAUCGUAAGGUUUGCUGGAGGUAUCAGAAGUGCGAAUGCUGACAUGAGUAACGACAAAGGGGGUGAAAAACCUCCUCGCCGGAAGACCAAGGGUUCCUGUCCAACGUUAAUCGGGGCAGGGUGAGUCGACCCCUAAGGUGAGGCCGAAAGGCGUAAUCGAUGGGAAACGGGUUAAUAUUCCCGUACUUCUGACUAUUGCGAUGGGGGGACGGAGAAGGCUAGGUGGGCCAGGCGACGGUUGUCCUGGUUCAAGUGCGUAGGCUUGAGAGUUAGGUAAAUCCGGCUCUCUCUAAGGCUGAGACACGACGUCGAGCUGCUACGGCAGUGAAGUCAUUGAUGCCAUGCUUCCAGGAAAAGCCUCUAAGCUUCAGAUAGUCAGGAAUCGUACCCCAAACCGACACAGGUGGUCGGGUAGAGAAUACCAAGGCGCUUGAGAGAACUCGGGUGAAGGAACUAGGCAAAAUGGUACCGUAACUUCGGGAGAAGGUACGCUCUUGAUGGUGAAGUCCCUCGCGGAUGGAGCUGACGAGAGUCGCAGAUACCAGGUGGCUGCAACUGUUUAUUAAAAACACAGCACUGUGCAAAAUCGCAAGAUGACGUAUACGGUGUGACGCCUGCCCGGUGCCGGAAGGUUAAUUGAUGGGGUUAGCGCAAGCGAAGCUCUUGAUCGAAGCCCCGGUAAACGGCGGCCGUAACUAUAACGGUCCUAAGGUAGCGAAAUUCCUUGUCGGGUAAGUUCCGACCUGCACGAAUGGCGUAAUGAUGGCCACGCUGUCUCCACCCGAGACUCAGUGAAAUUGAAAUCGCUGUGAAGAUGCAGUGUACCCGCGGCUAGACGGAAAGACCCCGUGAACCUUUACUACAGCUUGGCACUGAACAUUGAACCUACAUGUGUA
RNAcentral lists this ribosomal RNA (1436 nucleotides) under Vibrio cholerae. Its description in RNAcentral is "partial 23S ribosomal RNA". It matches the Rfam family "Bacterial large subunit ribosomal RNA", at positions 717 to 2140 of the family's 2925-position model. The record is from RNAcentral. Lineage: Bacteria; Pseudomonadati; Pseudomonadota; Gammaproteobacteria; Vibrionales; Vibrionaceae.